Molecule: long non-coding RNA, 283 nt
Filed under: Mytilus galloprovincialis (Mediterranean mussel)
Lineage: Eukaryota; Metazoa; Mollusca; Bivalvia; Mytilida; Mytilidae
Source: RNAcentral
GAAAAAUAUUAUUGCCAAUGAGACAACUCUCCACAAGAGCUAAAAUUACAUAGAAGUUAUAAUCUAUAGUUACAAAUAUAAAAUAGAAGAUGUGAUAUGAUUGCCAAUGAGACAACUAUCCACAAAAGACCAAAAUGACACAGACAUUAUCAACUAUAGGUCACCAUACGGCCUUCAACAAUGAGCAAAGCCCAUACCGCAUAGUCAGCUAUAAAAGGCCCCGAUUAGACAAUGUAAAACAAUUCAAACAAGAAAACUAACGGCCUUAUUUAGGUAAAAAAAA